This is a non-coding RNA of Vicugna pacos (alpaca), 2295 nucleotides long. The record is from RefSeq and is a predicted model, not a curated record. NCBI's taxonomy places the organism in Eukaryota, Metazoa, Chordata, Mammalia, Artiodactyla, Camelidae.
GGGUAUCUUUUAGCAAAGUGCGCAGGUGGCAGGCACUGUGGCGAAGUGAAGCCGAGUAAAACAAGAUUCCCACCUUCAAUGCACUUACAGUCUAGUUGGGAAGAUAAGGUGUGCUCACAUGAAAGGAUAUCUAGCCAGUCACAUGUAGGUAGCAAGGCACGUUGGAUUUGGGCAGGUUCUACAUCAGUGUGGCUGAGUGACUUCACAUCAAGGCUGAAAAAUCACCAGACUGUCCUGGGAAAGGAAAGGAGGGAAAGGAGAGAAGGCGGUAGGAGCCCGGGGGCCUUUCCUAAACCGGGGCCCAUUCUCCAUCCAUAAAGGCCAGAGGCCCUGAGCACUGUGCUGGUCAGUCCCAGAUGAGUGGAUCCCUGAGAGUUAUGAUGUUACAGAGGCCUCUCGGCACAUUCCAGCCAUCCUUAAGCAUGCAAGUCUGCCACAGGGCGAGUACCUCAUUGAACUGGGCUUUGCUCAGAACACAAGUACUAUGGCAAGCUGUUCUCACAUGGGUGGACUUCUGAUGGCAGUGCCUUGAUGUUCUGCUCCACGGUCAGAACUACACUGGGCCAUACUUAACAGGCACUGGAUGAAAGCUCCAGAGUCAUCCUAGAGACCUGACCCACCCUGCCCCAAAGACUAGGCUCUUAGAGGUAAGAGAGGAGAGUAGGCUUCUGGGGGGCUACACUGUUUUCUGGCCUCUAGAAACAAAGCCUAGAAGGAAAAAAAUCCAUCUGCGGAAUGAGACCCUCCCCAGCCAUGUGGCAGGUGGCACAGGUUGGGGGGGGGACAAGCAGGUGUACCAAAGAAACCCUUAAGCACAUGGGAAAGAUUUUUGUUUUCUUGGGACAGUGAUGCUCAGUGAUGCUUUUUUCCAUUGUCUUCCCUUUUUUUACUACUGCCUUUGCUAUUACAGUUCUUUGGGGUUGUAAUAAAAUUGCAUACUUGUUUGUAAAUUGUAUUACCUGACCACUCUCUAGGCCGUAUAUAGUAAUUGGUGCACCUCCAUGUUUUCUGGAACUGAGGAAGAUGCCUGCCAAGAAACAAACAGAUGAAACAAAAUGUGUUCAAAUUAAUAAAGUGCCAGUUACAUACAAGAUCGAUCUGCUAGGCCAUUUUCUCAGUGAUGCCCUGAAAAGAACAAUUAGGUCUCUAGUUCUGAAUCAAGAUUUGUGGAAAUCCCAAAAGCAGUGAUUGGGCUCUUCAUCGCUAAAGAGCCUUUAGGGGUGGGGGAGGUGUACUGCGGCUAACAGCUGUAAAGAGGGUACACAGAUAUGCCAAAGAAGCCUUUUACAGUUAAUGCAAAUAUAGCAUUAGAUUUAUUCUUCACAGAAAUUUCCUUCUCUUGUCUUUUAUCAACAAUGCACCAAAAUGUGAAGGUUAUAAGAGCAUGCUCACCCCCAGCUCAGGGUCUAUUCCAUCUUCAUCUGGAAAGCAAAGGAAGUGGAUAUCCCAGAAGAAUAUUCCAGAGUAUGCAAACCUCAGAGAUAAAAGAUUUGGUCAGGGGUGUGUGGAUGAGCUAGGGGGAGGAGGGGACCAUUACACAAGCACACAGAGGCCCAAACCAAGAAGCUGAAUGCCAAUGUCUUUAGAUCUUUAUAAUCUGCAUCGACAUACUUAGGAAAGAAAAAACUCUAGAAUUGUUCCAGGUGUCUUGUGUCUCACAAAAGUAUAGUAGAAUAAUUUGACUUCUCAGGUCACAAAAGUAUGAGGGUAAUACAAAAUUCUGAAAACUAAGAGAUGUUUAACACUCACCCCUCCUCUCAUCCAGAAGCUUCCUGUUGAGGGCAGCCAGCUUCAGUCCCAUCCAGUCACCAGCUUUCCUUAGAGCAGAGCCAGCAGCAUCCGCUGAGAGGGAGCUCCAGAGGGGAAAGGCUGUCUUAUUCAAAUCUGAGGCACAGUGCCUGGCAUGUGGCAUUUACUCAGCACUGUUUACUGAAGUGAACCACAAAGGACAGUUAAGAGCACACUAGGUUAGGAGUCCAAACACCAAGCUUCUAGUCCCUGGUCUGCUGUUGGCUAGGAAUAACUAUGGCAGCCUGGCAUAUAUAAUUUCAAACAAGAACCAUUCUUCUAAACAAGUGACAUAAAGGUAAACUGCAUAUCAGGUGUUACCAUCACAGAAGACAAAACAUGCAUUUAUAUGUGCAUAGACACUUUGGGAUGGUGUGACAGUGGGGCAGGCACUGGGCAGGGGACUGGAGCAAGUCUUUUCACUCAACCUUAUGUUGUUAGAUUUUUGAGCUAUGUGAAUACGGUAUCUAUUUAAAAAUUAAAGAAUAAAACCAUAUGUAUAAGGAA